ACUACAGAUGUGAUAAAUUCAUUUGAGUAAUAAAAAAAAUGAAAAAAUGAAAAAAAAAUAAAUAAAAAAUAAAAAAUUUUGUUCACUAUUUGAAAUGACUGGAAUGCUAAUCAAAAAAGUGGAAGAUUGAAAGUUAAAGUCCUUCUUGAACUGCAAGAAAAUAAGAUCAACCUUGGAAAUUGUAGUGAAAUUUAUCAACAAAUGUAUAUUAAUCUCAGUUACCACCUUCUUUGCAUGAGUUAAAUAAAGAUGGGCUUAAAGACAUAUUUGGAAAUAUACUUUGAGUAUGAUGAUUAGAUUUAAAGAUCUGUAUCAUUCAUACACAUGUGAUUAUGUAAAAAUAUCAGCCAAAAUUUGCAGAAUAACAUAGGUAGAUAAGAUGCCUAUUUAUAAACCAUUGUAUAAUUUGUAUCAGUGUGAUUUAGGUUUUUCUAUCUACAGUUCAAACUUUUAUAUCCACUUGUUUGGAAAGAAGAUAUAAUUCUUUUAAUAGCAUCUCCAACUACAUAUUUGUUUGAAAAAGGUUUUGAUGUACCACUGCAGUUACUGCAAAGAUGAACAAGAGGUAAACUGCUAACGUGUAAAGGAGAUGUGACAUUCCUUUAAAUUUAGAACUAAAUUAGCAUAGGCAUUGACUUAGCAAGGAUCUUAGUUUUGUCAUACAAUUUUUAAAUAAAGUGCCGCUUAAAAUUUAGUUGUCUAGGAAAUCUGUGAUGUGAGCUCCCAGCAGGGAGAUGAGCAAAUUGUGAUCCAGGAAGAGAGGAGCUGAGAGCCUGGCGGUUGCUAAAUGGAUUGGAAGGCGCUUCAUUGAGGCCUGGGGAGGCUUCUUGCUUGUUGAGGGCUUCUGGCCCUCACGUGGGAAGGUCUGGUGCCCCUGGUCUGGGAAAAGAAGACCUGCAGACACUGCCCGCUGGAAAGAGCCGCUGCUGGGAGUGGGUAAGAAAGUUCCCUCCCCAUUCUGCCUCAGCCUGGACCGCUGGAGCAGGGUCGUUGGCUGCAGACCAUGUCACAGCUCAGACUCCCACAGCAGUAGCUUCUGAAGCUCUGCUCUCAUUGUCACCACCUGUGUCUGGCUUGGAGAGGCGGAAGGUUGACUAUGAAGGAGCUUUGAAGGGAUUCCUGCUCAGGCCGGCCAGUUGCCUUUCUUGGUGUCCGUCUGUUGUUGCCCAGCUAGAGACCACAAAAGCUUGACCUUCGGAACACCUGGGAUGUGAGUGACACUGAUUAAUCAGUGGUUUAAUCAACAGAGGCAGGUGUCUUACCUACCUACUUCAUCCCCUCACUACCUCUUAACCUGGGCUUCUCACCAGCUCAAAGUUUUCUCAUUACAGCCGAUGUGAUUUUGGAGUCUCCUUUAAGGUCCCGUUCCUCAAAGGUGGUCCAGAAAAUCGCACCACUUCCCAGCUUCCUGGAAAAACGGCUUUUGAAGGAUGUGCAGAAUGUGAAUGUGCCAAGCCUCUGAAGGCAGCAAUGUUUGGCUCCUUGCCUAAGACGAGAGGAAGAUGAGGAAUCAGCUAAUCCUGUAUUAAUGGGUGUUCUGGGACAGCUUUUACAGGUGCCCUGGAAGGGCUGAUGCAGCCCUUCCCUGAGGUGUUGGAUGAACAACAGUUUAGUCCUUUGACUCCAAGCAAGAGCAAAAGGAAGAAAAAUUAAUAAACCAGUCACUCUCUCCAAGAUGCUAUCCUGCCCCGCGAGUGAGCACUCCUUUUCCUGGAGUAUUGAGAAGAGAGGCAGGGUCCAGAGGAGGAUUCGGGGAUUCAAGAUACCAGGUGUGUCUUCUUCAGAGACAAGAAUUGACAUUGAGCAGUCAUUUCCUUAGGAAGAAGUAAAAGAGGGACAAGCUUUUCUAAAAAAUAUUUAUUUAAAACUUUUACAUAAUCAUUUGGUAAUUCAGAAUUGGUUUAGGCCUUUUGCAGACAUUUGAGAUGGAUGCCUUAACCCCAAACCUGUAGCAAUAGCUUAUUUGAUUGAUGGGAGCACUUGAGGGACCCCAUGAUAUAGAAGAAACAGAUGGCUAGAAAAGAGAGAGUGUGUUAGAGACAGGAGCUUUCCUGAAGGACUCAGUUGUAAUUUUGAAAUUAUCUGUCACAAACAUUCAGCAUCUUAACCAGACUAACAACAAUAGCCGCAGCUUAAUUUGCAUUUUACCAGUUGCAUAUCGAGAAAGCAUAGAAUUGAAAGUUCUGUAGACCUCAGAAUCUGACUUAAAUUAAUUUAAUCCCUUAUCUUAAUAACAAUUAAAAACUAGCAUCUACCCAGUGUAGUCUUAGCGUCACCCCAGCACCUGUCUCCUGAUGGAAUGCCGUCUCCCUUUGUGCUCGGUACUCAGGACCCAAAGGUCACCAGGAGUUCGUGUACCCAGAGAUGUGUAAAAGACUCAUGCCACACAGCCAACCGUGGCCCAAGUGCUCUGAGCAGAUCCGGCCUGAGCUGCAGGUGGCGAGGGGCAUGUUCUAUACCCUCCACUGCCUCAGAUGGUUUCCAGGGUGUUCCAAGUAGGGUAAGUGAUGUCUCCCAGUAAGACAAUUAAUUCCCUGAGGACAAGGCUCUCUCUCCAGCCUCCUUCGGAGCAGGGUCCUGCCAGGUGUGAGCACAGAGCAGGCCUUUAGUAAAGGAAGAGAGGAAUCCAGCAUGUACUAAGCACCUGUAACAUGCCAGGUAACCCUCACGACAGCCCUGUGAGGCAGGUUCAUCACCCAUUUUACAGAUGUGGAAACAGAGGCUCAGGAGAAUUUGCCCAUGGUGGUGUAGCUAGUAACAGGGAGCAUCAGUUUGAAACCCAGGGCUUCUCACUCCAGGGCUCUUCUGCCUAUGGAAGCCAAUGGUUUGGCACCAAUUGAGUACUCCAGCUCCACCACAGCUGGUGUGGAGCUCAGACACACUCAAGACCCUGGAGUGCGUGGGACUAACUUUGGGAGUCCAGAAGCCUGAUUCAGUCCAGUGUGGCCCCCCAUCAGAGGAGGGGACCUAGCACAAUGUUCCAGGGAGCGCGUAGACAGACAACAGCGGGCAGGCCUCUGCCUGGAGACUUGUGUUGCCCCCUUGCAGAGGGGCUGGAGGGCAUGGCCAUUUGGGACACAUGGUGUGAGGGUCAGCUCUGCUCUCCAAGGUCCUGACCUCUGAGAGUGACUUUAAUUCCUAGAGAACCACAUCCCACUCCCUGAGAGACUUCACAGAAGAAGGUCCACUAUGUUCAAAGAAAUUGGAUGAGGCUAUUUUAAGGUGGAAAAUGCUUAAAAGUAAUUUGAGAGGGGGGAAGACUAAAAACAGACGGCAGGACGAGGUAUAGGGCUGGCCAUCAAAAAGGAAGAUUGGCCAUGGUGUGUACAUGUAUAGGCUAGGCUUAGGCCAAGUGUGCCUGGGGAAAUCAAGUUUUUGGCAUGUGGCUUGCCUGGCAUCUGCCACAGGGCUGCACUUGCUGCCUCAGACAUGAGUAGGGCACUUCUUCCAAAGUAGCUUGAGCCUGUGAAUUCAGGUAGCUCUU
Molecule: non-coding RNA, 3484 nt
Organism: Sus scrofa (pig)
Lineage: Eukaryota; Metazoa; Chordata; Mammalia; Artiodactyla; Suidae
Source: RefSeq, a predicted model, not a curated record